Molecule: ribosomal RNA, 445 nt
Filed under: Achromobacter insolitus
Lineage: Bacteria; Pseudomonadati; Pseudomonadota; Betaproteobacteria; Burkholderiales; Alcaligenaceae
Description: bacterial SSU rRNA
Rfam family: Bacterial small subunit ribosomal RNA
Source: RNAcentral
UGAACGCUAGCGGGAUGCCUUACACAUGCAAGUCGAACGGCAGCACGGACUUCGGUCUGGUGGCGAGUGGCGAACGGGUGAGUAAUGUAUCGGAACGUGCCCAGUAGCGGGGGAUAACUACGCGAAAGCGUAGCUAAUACCGCAUACGCCCUACGGGGGAAAGCAGGGGAUCGCAAGACCUUGCACUAUUGGAGCGGCCGAUAUCGGAUUAGCUAGUUGGUGGGGUAACGGCUCACCAAGGCGACGAUCCGUAGCUGGUUUGAGAGGACGACCAGCCACACUGGGACUGAGACACGGCCCAGACUCCUACGGGAGGCAGCAGUGGGGAAUUUUGGACAAUGGGGGAAACCCUGAUCCAGCCAUCCCGCGUGUGCGAUGAAGGCCUUCGGGUUGUAAAGCACUUUUGGCAGGAAAGAAACGUCGCGGGUUAAUACCCCGCGAAACU